CCAGACUCCUACGGGAGGCAGCAGUAGGGAAUCUUCGGCAAUGGGGGCAACCCUGACCGAGCAACGCCGCGUGAGUGAAGAAGGUUUUCGGAUCGUAAAGCUCUGUUGUAAGUCAAGAACGAGUGUGAGAGUGGAAAGUUCACACUGUGACGGUAGCUUACCAGAAAGGGACGGCUAACUACGUGCCAGCAGCCGCGGUAAUACGUAGGUCCCGAGCGUUGUCCGGAUUUAUUGGGCGUAAAGCGAGCGCAGGCGGUUUGAUAAGUCUGAAGUUAAAGGCUGUGGCUCAACCAUAGUUCGCUUUGGAAACUGUCAAACUUGAGUGCAGAAGGGGAGAGUGGAAUUCCAUGUGUAGCGGUGAAAUGCGUAGAUAUAUGGAGGAACACCGGUGGCGAAAGCGGCUCUCUGGUCUGUAACUGACGCUGAGGCUCGAAAGCGUGGGGAGCGAACAGGAUUAGAUACCCUGGUAGUCCACGCCGUAAACGAUGAGUGCUAGGUGUUGGAUCCUUUCCGGGAUUCAGUGCCGCAGCUAACGCAUUAAGCACUCCGCCUGGGGAGUACGACCGCAAGGUUGAAACUCAAAGGAAUUGACGGGGGCCCCGCACAAG
Molecule: ribosomal RNA, 608 nt
Filed under: uncultured bacterium
Lineage: Bacteria
Description: bacterial SSU rRNA
Rfam family: Bacterial small subunit ribosomal RNA
Source: RNAcentral